UAGGGAAUCUUCAAAUGGACAAAAUUCUGAUGGAGCACGCCCGAGUGUGAUGAAGGGUUUCGGCUCUAAAACCUGUUGUAAAAGAAGAAUGACAUUGAGAGUAACUGUUCAAUGUGUGACGGUUUCUAACCACAAAGGAACGGCUAAAUACAU
Molecule: ribosomal RNA, 153 nt
Filed under: uncultured Weissella sp.
Lineage: Bacteria; Bacillati; Bacillota; Bacilli; Lactobacillales; Lactobacillaceae
Description: partial 16S ribosomal RNA
Source: RNAcentral